CUUUGCGAUAUUUAUCCUGGUCUGCAUUGAGUCUGUGUUUAAGAAGCUGCUGCGCCUCUUCUCGUUGGUGAUAUGGAUAUGCCUUGUUGCCAUGGGAUACCUGUUCAUGUGUUUUGGAGGCACUGUCUCUCCCUGGGACCAGGUAUCGUUCUUCCUCUUCAUCAUCUUCGUGGUGUACACCAUGCUACCCUUCAACAUGCGAGACGCCAUCAUUGCCAGUGUCCUCACCUCCUCCUCCCACACCAUCGUGCUUAGCGUCUGCCUGUCUGCAACACCGGGAGGCAAGGAGCACCUGGUCUGGCAGCCCCUGGAAACCACCCUUCUACUCACAAGAACAAUCUAGCCUUGCCUGGGAUGAAGUGCAAGAAACACUCCUGUGGAUACAAUCUCUACCCCAGCCUUCACUUCCUGUUUCUGCACUUCAGAGCCUCUCCUGAGGGUAUCUGUGGGGCAUUUCUCCUUUCUCCUAUAAAUUCCACUCUUCCGUCUUCUCAUUUAUUUGAGCUGUUAAGCUCAACAUUAGGCGUUCACAUAUGGGUCAGGGUGGUGGGCAUGUUUUUGCAGUAGAAAUGAGAAAACAG
Molecule: small RNA, 581 nt
Filed under: Pongo abelii (Sumatran orangutan)
Lineage: Eukaryota; Metazoa; Chordata; Mammalia; Primates; Hominidae
Description: processed transcript
Source: RNAcentral